This 6334-nucleotide long non-coding RNA is filed under the name Lathyrus oleraceus (garden pea). RNAcentral's name for it is "Pisum sativum (pea) long non-coding RNA (PSAT_LNC003205)". The record is from RNAcentral. Lineage: Eukaryota; Viridiplantae; Streptophyta; Magnoliopsida; Fabales; Fabaceae.
AAAAAGAAUACAACUAAAGCCUCAUCUUAAAUCCACUCAAGCAUGUGUCAACAUAAAGAAAAGUAUCUAACAAAGGCUUGAAGCAAUAUUUGGUGAUCUCCUAACUUAGCAUUAGUGAUAUCUUAUUUUAGUAAUGAGUAAACGAUUGUAAAAGCAAAGGGACUUUAUCGUAAAAGUAUAAGGCUAAAAGCACACACACAGUAAAACAUCUUUCAAAAUGUUUUAUCAAAUAAAACAUCUUCAAAUAUAUCUUGAAAUUGUGUCGGAAGACUUAGGAGCUGUUAAAAUAGCUAGAGGGAAAAUUUUGGCUUAUCUAAUCGAUUAGGUCCUUUGUCUAAUCGAUUAAAUUAGUUCAAACUUACGCCUAAGCAAUUUCGACAGUUCCUUAAUGAUGUGCAAUGACUAGAUAUAUUUUCCUUCCUUGUAUGGAACUUACAAACGAUUAUUUUCAUCUUUUAAUCGAUUAGACUUAGAUUAUAAUGGUUUAGAUUGUUACAAAAUGCAUUCAAUGAAAUUUCCUUUUUGAGCCAACCUCAGGCCUAUAAAUAGAGGUUUCAUUUCUCGUUCAAAUCAUCCAGAAUCGUGUUUUGACACUUUCAUCUCUCUCUCUCUCUCUCUCUAAACAUUUCUUUAACUUUCUCUCACUAUGUUUUUAGCAUAAGUGCUUUUGUGAGAAGAGUCAUUUUGUGAGUGAGACCAUUUUUGUAAUUCUUGAAUGGGUAGAAUUGUAAAAUUCACCAAGGGAACCUUUUGUGUAUAGUUUGGUUGAAUACUGUCCAAUUAGGGAUUUUAUUGGGUUAAAGUUAAACCCGUAAAAAGCUUUUGUUUGGGAUUGAGCAUUUCAGACCUAGUUUAGGUUGAAGAUCAGCCUGUGAUUCAUAGGUUCUUGGUAAGCUCGAUGAUAAAACAUGGAUAGGUUGAAGUUAAGCCCGGUACUUAAAAGCUUCACGGGUUCGAGAUCAACCCCGUGUUAAAAUGUCACAGGUUUUUGGUUAUCCCGGUUAAAACCAAGAUAUUGAGCUCAAAGGUUAUUAAACUUGAAGACUAACCGCUUGAAGUUCCAUUUUUAUGGAGAGAAGACUAACCACUUCAAUGUUUGGGAAGGAAGAUUUACCCCUUCACUCUCAAGUUUACUAUGAAGAAAAUAUGCAAACGCCCAUAUCCAUCGUCUUGUAUAUUGUGAUUGAAAAUCAAUCACCAUUUCCUUGUAUAUGGGGGGUUGUAAGUCUUUCCUGCUAAAAGAUCUCAAAGUAUUAACGAAAACUCUCAAGAUCAAUUAUUGGGGAGAGGAGUAAGUCCUUUUUUACCGAACAUCUAUAAUUCUUGGUGUUCCUCUUUUCCCUUAAUUCCUUUUAUUUAUGUAUUUUAUUUUUCUGCUGCUAAUUUUUAAAAAUACAUUUUAAAUAUGAUUUUAUUUCUCAAAUUUUUUAAAACCAUUUUUUUCCAAACCACACAAUCAACCCUAUCCCCCCUCUUGUAUGUGAAGUCUUAAGUCCAACACUCAUAAAUAAAAACAUCAAUGUACGACAAAGCUUAGCUCGGGUACAAAUAACAUACAAAGAUACAUGUAGUAUAUAAGAAUUGCAAAUUAACACAGUCGUGGCUCCAAGGUGACCUCAUAAAUAGUAUAAAAAAAUUGUACUUUAAAUUAUAAAAGAAAGUUAAAAUAGUAUGAAGGUAUAACAUAAUAGAACCAAGCAAUGAGUCGAGUUCCCCUAUAAAGAUUACCUACCUCUGAGAGAAUCAUGGGUUGAGUCACAAUACCAAAUGAAGCUCUAGGGUCCAUAAUUUGACCUCUUUGGAAAAUUAUGUGUGAGUUAUCCAAUGUAAGUUCAAUGUCAUAAUAAAGCACUCUGGCCUACUGAAGAGAGAGUGAAACACCACCUUCAAAUUCUUCAAUAUCGGUGUCCAAAAUAAUCUAUAUAUAUUUUUCUUCUUAGCACCAUCAAUUCAAAGAUAUUCAAGAUGCAACUCUAGCUCAUAACAAUGUGACUCUAGGUUGUAAUGACCUACAUGAAAGGUAUGUUAACUCUCAUGAUAAGCUUUAAGCUUAAGAUUGAUUUUUUUAGUGUCUACAUAGUGUUGUUAAAGGACUCCCUCAUAUAAUAAUUGUCUACUUCUCCUUUAUCUAGAUAAUUUCUCAAAUUGAUAACAAAAACAAGAUAGUGAAAAUGCUCUUCUUUAAUAACUUUGCUAGUCUUUGAGGCAAGUGCACCUCUUUAAGAAAUUUGUGGUUCUCAGAGGCCACGCAUAGAGAGUAGUUCUUUUACGACCUCCAAUGAAUCAUCAAAAUUGAGAUGACAAAUUAUCUUCUUGCCAAAGAAGAAGGUGAGAUAAGGUAGUUGUGAAGGAGGUGAACUAAAGUAAAUGCAAAGCGAUAAGGAGGUGAGCUAAGUUAGGUGCAAAGUGAGGAUGAGGUAAUCUAAGGUAGGUGUGGAGAAUGUGAGCUAGAGUAAGUGAAAACUGAGGAGGCGAUAAUAUAAGGUAGGUGUAGAGGACAUGAUAUGAUAGUGGUGCAAAGUGGGAUGAGGUGAGCUAAGGUAGGGGUGAAAGAGUAAUGCUAAAGUAAGUGUGGAAGAUGUGAGUUAAGAUAGGGGUGAAAGAGUAAUGAUAAAGUAUAUGUUAAAGAGGUGGGCUAAGGCAGGUACAAAGUGAGGAAGAAGUCAUAUAAUCUAGACCUGGAGGAGGUGAGAUAAGGCAUGUGCAAAGUGAGGAAGAGGUGAGCUAAGGUAAGUUUAAAAUGAGGAGGAGAUGAGCUAAGAUGGUGUGGAUGAGGUCAGUUAAAGUAGAGGCAAAAUGAGAAGGUUGGGAACUAAGGUAAGAUAAUACAUUUAAUGAAACACAUUAGGUGCACUUGAUCAAGCAAUGAUGGGGUUGGAUAUUAUGGUCUAUGUGAGGUAGCACAUCUAAUCACACACUUUGAAUGAACAUCAAUACUAAAGGUUAAAUCAAAUCUUAAAAUCUAAAAUGUUAUAAAUUCUUGUAAGAAGCAUAACCCAAAAUCUAAUGUUUCGGAACCACUCACAAAUCCACCCAAAUGAGGGAUUCUAAGAAGCAUCCCAGCCUAAAGAAAAACAAUCUCAAAGAGGCUUCUAGCAGAAGCUCUAAUGGAAGGAAAGGUUUCCAUAGGGGCACCGAGAAACAACUCUACUUGAAGGACAUAACCUUAAAGGGGGCGCCAAGAAGCAGUUUAACUAGAAGGUAAAUGGAUCUAUAGGGCCACCUAGCAGUAGCUCGACCUAAAGUUGAGUGGUUUAUGGGGGUGGUUAUUGAACAACACCUUAGCCUGCCAAAACAGGCGCAAGGAAAAAGCAUCGAGUAGAAGCUCAUUCCACAUUAUUGCAAAAUAAAGUGUGUGUUAGUUAUAUUGAAAUUUUGAAGAAACAAACAUAAAAUCUUAGGUGAGGUCAAGUUCCACCUCAAUACUCUAAGUAAAAUAAAAAGAAAUCAAGCAUAUAAUUGAGGAAGUGAAAAGGGCUAGUGAGUUCACAUGGAUCGAUCUCAUAAGGAGCAAACAUAUAUGCCUUAACACGUUUGACAUUUGAUGGACUAUGGACUAACAUGGGUCAAUCUGAUGAAGAACAAAAUGUUUAUGCCUUAAUAGACUUGACGUUAUAUGGACCGUGGACUGACAUUUGACAAUCUGAUGAAGAAUAAACAUUUAGACCUUAACAGGCUUAAGACACGGAAGAACAUGCCACAUGGGCUCAAUUACACUUCGACCAUGCUGGAUAUGUCUACCAUUUCUCUACCCUUCAUCGUGUUUAGCUACGUUUGCCCAUUCAACGUGUCUAGGUCAACUUGAUCAUUCAGGUAAUGUGAAACCCCCACCUUGAUCAAUUAGACUAAGUUUUUCCUUAAAGUUACAGUCCUUCUAGAAAAUGCUUCAUGGCAUGUCAAUUCCACGCUCAUGCACAAACGAGUGACCUAAGUUGCAUGUGCUUAGUUCCACUUUCAUGUACAAACGAAUUGUGUGGAUCUAGGUAAAAGAAAAUAGUUUGAUGUUAUAAUUUAGAUGUUAUAAUUUUUGUGUUUAGAUAUGUGUAUGCACCUCUAUGUCAAAGAAAAUUUAAUUAUUAGCCAAAAUUUAUAACGCAACACAAAUAAAUAGUUCUAAUAUUACAUUAAAAGACGAAUCAUUGUAGAUGUAAUCGUGUGCACUCGAACAUUUGAGUCACUUGAUUAAUAUCAAAUAGCAGUACAAGUUUUAAAAUUUAAUCCAGUAUAACUACUUAACUAAUCCUAAUACAUCUACGGUACAGGGUGUUGUCUAUCGUAAUAGAUCUGUCACGUAACAUUUUCGUCAUUUUUUUUUUUCACUUUCAAUCAUUUAAAGGCGGUCUUAAACCGCCACCAAACAUUUUCGUCAUUUUUUUUUUUCACUUUCAAUCAUUUAAAGGCGGUCUUAAACCGCCACCGCCACAAAGUUUUAGUAAUUAUUAAGUGAUAGUUUAAAAUUAUCGCUAAUAGAUUGAAAAAAAAAAUCGUUUAGCAUUGGUUUAAAAAAAACCAUUGAAAUUGAAGGGAAAAGAAACCACUCACUUACUGAAUCUCACGAUAGACAGCACUAUAGUACUAAUAGAUCUCUCAAGGUAGAGAGUACCACAUUACAUACCCAUAUACUAAAAGAAACAUAAGAAGUGUAAUUCGUACUACUAGUAUACACCAACAGAUCCAACGCAUUUCAUCCCCGAAACAAAUAUAAACAAACAAACAAUUAGAUAAAUCCAACUUUGCUUCACAUUUUGCACCUCUUCUUAAUGGCUUCUCCUUACGUUUCCUUCACGUCUCUCCCUUUGUAGGACCACCCUACACUUUACUACCUCUCCUACUAUAUUACCAUAAUAACACAUCCUGUUAACCUUAUUUACCUAACACUUUAACUCCCAAAUAAACACUAUAACAGCAACUUCACUUUGCCAGAAUGAAACACACUAUCUGACUCACACCUAAUUAUGACCUCAUCUAACUAAACUGUCCAAAAAAAAAACUUCAAAGUGGUAAAUAAAAGAGCCCUCAAAUUGUGCUUGACAACUUUGACUCUUUAUCUACAAUAGUUAUAGUUCAUUUUAGUAACAAAAAUGUACAAUGCUGUUAUAUAUACAGUAGUAGUUAAAUUACCGUUCAACUUAAGUCAAUGUAAUAUUUCAUAUUUCAUAUUUCAUAACUUUGUUCAAACGUGGCUGCUUUUCUGGUAAAGUAAAACGUGUCGGUGUCGUCUAUAAGAAAAUUAAAAACAAUGAGUGCAUGAAUAAAAAAAACAUAUUGUAGUGUAGUGUAGGUUCAAAAGAUAAGAGUAAGUUGUUUCACACCACACCUCAAAUAGCAACACUCUCCUUUCACUUUUCUUUAUCAAAAACUUUCUACACUUGUUUACUAAGCAAUUAUUAUAUACUCCAUUUUCAUUUUAAGAAAACCUUCAUUCUCAUUGUGCUCAUAAGUUUUACAAAAAUGGGAACAUCUCAAAGAACAACAUUAGUAAACACUGUGUGUUGUUUAAUUAUUGUGUUGUUUUCUCUCACUGUUACUGUUGUGGUUGGUGAUUUAAUAACAGAUCAGAAGAAUCUUACAGCUAAAUCUAAAGAUGAAGUGAAGUGCACGCCGUGUGGUGAAGUUUCGUCGCCGCCGCCACCUUCUCCUCCUCCGCCGUCUCCGCCUCCAGCUUCCACGAGUAACUGUCCUCCGCCUCCUUCUCCUCCGAGCUCCGGCGGUGGUGGUGGUGGUUCAAAUUAUUACUCUCCACCGCCGCCGUCUACUUAUUACUACUCAUCUCCACCACCACCGGCGACGUCCACCGGAGGAGGUGGAACAGGUGGUUUGUAUUAUUAUCCUCCGCCGAAUGGUGGGACUGGGAACGGGAACUAUCCUACUCCGCCGCCUCCAAAUCCAAUUGUACCGUACUUUCCUUUCUACUACCACACUCCGCCACCUUCCGCGGCGGCGCCUCCACUAUUUAAGGGAUCCGUAAUGCUCUGCGCCGUGUCGUUUCUGGUGUUGUUUUGAUAGAAAAAAGAAAACAAGAGAAACGAAAAUUGAGGUAAGUAAAUUAAGUACAUGGAAUUUUGCAGAUCUCGAAGAUUAGAAAGAAAAGUAAAAAAAAAGUGAGAUCGAUGAAAAUGGAAAGUGUACUUAUUUUUUGCUGUCUCUUUAAUUCUGAUGUAAUGUAGGUUCAUCGAUCUGCAAUUUGUUGCCAAUUUGUAAUUGUAUCUAGCUAUUUUAUUUUGUUUAGUAUGAACAAAUAUUAUUUAAAGAAUAAAUUAAGCAUUAUUCAUUUCCAUUUAUAUUGUGUUUAGUAUAGAUUAUUAUUAAUUAAGCGAGUUUAUACUUAUCUUAA